GACGCACUUUGGCGGCGUGCUUAACACAUGCAAGUCGAACGGUAAGGCUCCAGCUUGCUGGGGUACACGAGUGGCGAACGGGUGAGUAACACGUGGGUGACCUGCCCUGCACUUCGGGAUAAGCCUGGGAAACUGGGUCUAAUACCGGAUAGGACCGCACCGUGAGGGUGUGGUGGAAAGUUUUUUCGGUGUGGGAUGGGCCCGCGGCCUAUCAGCUUGUUGGUGGGGUAAUGGCCUACCAAGGCGGCGACGGGUAGCCGGCCUGAGAGGGUGGACGGCCACAUUGGGACUGAGACACGGCCCAGACUCCUACGGGAGGCAGCAGUGGGGAAUAUUGCACAAUGGGCGGAAGCCUGAUGCAGCGACGCCGCGUGGGGGAUGACGGCCUUCGGGUUGUAAACUCCUUUCACCAUCGACGAAGGGUUUCUGACGGUAGAUGGAGAAGAAGCACCGGCUAACUACGUGCCAGCAGCCGCGGUAAUACGUAGGGUGCGAGCGUUGUCCGGAAUUACUGGGCGUAAAGAGCUCGUAGGUGGUUUGUCGCGUCGUCUGUGAAAUUCCGGGGCUUAACUCCGGGCGUGCAGGCGAUACGGGCAUAACUUGAGUACUGUAGGGGAGACUGGAAUUCCUGGUGUAGCGGUGAAAUGCGCAGAUAUCAGGAGGAACACCGGUGGCGAAGGCGGGUCUCUGGGCAGUAACUGACGCUGAGGAGCGAAAGCAUGGGGAGCGAACAGGAUUAGAUACCCUGGUAGUCCAUGCCGUAAACGGUGGGCGCUAGGUGUGGGUUUCCUUCCACGGGAUCCGUGCCGUAGCUAACGCAUUAAGCGCCCCGCCUGGGGAGUACGGCCGCAAGGCUAAAACUCAAAGGAAUUGACGGGGGCCCGCACAAGCGGCGGAGCAUGUGGAUUAAUUCGAUGCAACGCGAAGAACCUUACCUGGGCUUGACAUAUACAGGAUCGCGCCAGAGAUGGUGUUUCCCUUGUGGCUUGUAUACAGGUGGUGCAUGGUUGUCGUCAGCUCGUGUCGUGAGAUGUUGGGUUAAGUCCCGCAACGAGCGCAACCCUUGUCUUAUGUUGCCAGCACGUUGUGGUGGGGACUCGUAAGAAACUGCCGGGGUUAACUCGGAGGAAGGUGGGGAUGACGUCAAAUCAUCAUGCCCCUUAUGCCCAGGGCUUCACACAUGCUACAAUGGUCGGUACAGUGGGUUGCCAGUCCGUGAGGGCGAGCUAAUCCCGCAAAGCCGGUCUCAGUUCGGAUCGGGGUCUGCAACUCGACCCCGUGAAGUCGGAGUCGCUAGUAAUCGCAGAUCAGCAACGCUGCGGUGAAUACGUUCCCGGGCCU
This 1341-nucleotide ribosomal RNA is filed under the name uncultured bacterium. RNAcentral describes it as "partial 16S ribosomal RNA". It matches the Rfam family "Bacterial small subunit ribosomal RNA", at positions 28 to 1381 of the family's 1533-position model. The record is from RNAcentral.